GAAUUAUUUAGCCUGACAUGUUUACUGCUCCAAAACAUCAUAAAUCUUUCGAAAAAUGGAAUAUAUUGUUUUCAAAGAGGAAAAAAGUUUUUGUUUUUUACCCAGACAUUUAAAAAUAAUAUAUUUUAGAGCAGUGAGCACAAUACUGUGAUAUUUUUAUCCAAAGUUAUCAUACCGUCAGAAUCAUAUACCGGCCCAAGCCUACACACAAAUCUUAAUUCUCAUAAUAAAGUCAUACCGUAAACAACACCAGCCAGCAAACAUUACGGUUCCAGCUUCCCUCCUAGCACAAUAAACUAAUAGAAAUGAGUGCUCUGCGAAUGCAUAGGGACACUCUGUACUCCUGCAGGGCACAAGAGUCAUCCAAUAUGAUGUAACACUGGCCAAGUCACAGCACUUGUGUCACAGCCCACAAACACACACAAUCAUACUCCAGAAGCUGUGACUGAAAUACACUUAAAUACUUGCAUUUUCUCUCUUUAAAACACGCACUUAUGGACUUAAUCAUCAGAAAAGUACAGAAAAAUACCAAAUCUGAAACAAUGUGAGGUCAUUGACUAAGAACAUGAUGUAGCUGUGGUCAUGAACACACACACACUCUGCAGGCAGGGAUUCAAAGAAGAAAAAUAGAGCAGAAAACAAGUUAUGUAACUGUUCUGAUAUCAACUGGCAUUAAAAAAAGAAUCGCUUGAAGUGUAGGCCAUAAUCCAAUCUUUCAACCUCCCGCCUCAAGAAAUGACAUCUCGACCGCUUCACCACAAGCUCUUUUCUAACGCACUCGGUUGUUUCCGAGCAUCACCUGUUAUGCAUUGAUUAAUUUAUCGCAUCUGGUAGACUGCCAGUUUGUUAUAUCACCUACUACCUUAUCCGACAUUAAGUAAUCGGCUAUUAUACAACAACAUCAUCUGAAAGUAUGUAACCUACUCCAGCAGAAUCAUCCAUAUUAACGCGCACACAUCACCUGUUGUGAACACAUUAGUUAAACAGUGUGUAACUAAAAAAAGAAGUGUUGUUGAUGACGUGCACGGCAAACUGUGGCGCAGGAAUGGUUGCUACGGCAGCGAGAACAAAAGCAAGGUGACUUUUAGCAAAGCUGCAGUGCUUUGUUCUCUGCGCUGGUCUCUCUUUUUUUCUCCCUCUUUCCCCCAUUUUUGAUUUGCUCGGAGUAUGCGGAUCCUUACGAAAGCAGUUCAUGUGAAAUGCCUUCUGGCGCUGCUUUAAAACAGAGCAGUUCUAGGAAGUCUCUGUUCAGCGUGUUUCCAAUUACUUGCUGUAUGAAGUCCAGGAGAGACGCUGGAGAGACGGGAUCAUUUAAGUAGGUUAAUCAACAGCAUCAGGACACGGCCAGUGAGAGAGCAUGUUCCUGCUUUCUGUUUAGGUUACUGGGUCAAGCGGAGAGGAAAGACAUCACGUGAAGAAGAAAAGCGUGUGUGUUUGAGUUUGUGUGUGGAGGAGCUCACAUGUACAGCACAAGGUUAUUUGCGGCUCCUCACCACUGCUCCUGGACUCCAGGAUGGUCCGGUGGCUCUACUGAGGUGUUUGUAACGCUGACGGAGCACAAAGUCAUAGUUGGCAGUGGUGCACAUGGCAUAAAACACGUUGGCCUUGUCUGGGAUCAGCAACUCUGAUAAAUACAAAAACGAGACACUGAUUUAUUGAGAGAAAGACUCAUGCUGCUGUUGAUCCAGGAAAUGAUGCGAGGAUGUGAUUGGAGAGUGUAGUGAGCACAUGACGCCUGCAGCUGCCUGA
This is a non-coding RNA of Danio rerio (zebrafish), 1749 nucleotides long. NCBI's taxonomy places the organism in Eukaryota, Metazoa, Chordata, Actinopteri, Cypriniformes, Danionidae. The record is from RefSeq and is a predicted model, not a curated record.